CCUACGGGUGGCUGCAGUGAGGAAUAUUGGUCAAUGGGAGAGAUCCUGAACCAGCCAAGCCGCGUGAGGGAAGACGGCCCUAUGGGUUGUAAACCUCUUUUGUCGGAGAACAAAACCCGGGACGUGUCCCUUACUGCGUGUAUCCUAUGAAAAAGCAUCGGCUAACUCCGUGCCAGCAGCCGCGGUAAUACGGAGGAUGCGAACGUUAUCCGGAUUUAUUGGGUUUAAAGGGUGCGUAGGCGGUCCGUUAAGUCAGAGGUAAAAUGGCGGGGCUCAACCCCGGCGAGCCGUUGAAACUGGCAGACUUGAGUUGGCGAGAAGUAGGCGGAAUGGGCGGUGUAGCGGUGAAAUGCAUAGAUA
RNAcentral lists this ribosomal RNA (360 nucleotides) under uncultured bacterium. RNAcentral's name for it is "partial 16S ribosomal RNA". It matches the Rfam family "Bacterial small subunit ribosomal RNA", at positions 338 to 696 of the family's 1533-position model. The record is from RNAcentral.